RNAcentral lists this small RNA (468 nucleotides) under Arabidopsis thaliana (thale cress). RNAcentral's name for it is "ATSL113810". Lineage: Eukaryota; Viridiplantae; Streptophyta; Magnoliopsida; Brassicales; Brassicaceae. The record is from RNAcentral.
UUGGUUACUAUUCAGUGAUCUCUACUCCAGUUAUAUAUUAUACAAGAUUUUAACCCGCGGUACACCGCGGAAACAAUUUAUUUUUUAAAGUUAGUAUAUAUAAAAAUUUAUAAAUUGUAUUUACAACUUUUAUUAAGUAACGUCCUGCCAAACCCGUCCCGCAAAAUUCGUCCUGCAAAAAAACCCAUUUAUUUUAUUAAUAUUGAUCUUAUUUAUGAAUCAUUGUCUAAAUAUUUUAGUCGAUGCGGGAUGUUGAACCCACACAUUUUUUGCCAAUUGGUUAAUAUAUGUUCAUUUUUAAAAUUUUGAAUCACAAAAUAUGACGGAAUUUUUUUUGAAAUUUUUUUAAACUAUAUAUUAUAUAAUGAUGUUAAAUUUUUUGAUAUAUUAAACUUUUUAUAAGUUUAAAUAUUAAUAAUGUUUUAUAAAGUUUAAAUAUAUAAAUAAUAAUAUUUAAAAAAUAUAUUU